RNAcentral lists this ribosomal RNA (814 nucleotides) under uncultured marine microorganism. Its description in RNAcentral is "bacterial SSU rRNA". It matches the Rfam family "Bacterial small subunit ribosomal RNA", at positions 8 to 819 of the family's 1533-position model. The record is from RNAcentral.
AGAGUUUGAUCAUGGCUCAGAUUGAACGCUGGCGGCAGGCCUAACACAUGCAAGUCGAACGGUAACAUUUCUAGCUUGCUAGAAGAUGACGAGUGGCGGACGGGUGAGUAAUGCUUGGGAACUUGCCUUUGCGAGGGGGAUAACAGUUGGAAACGACUGCUAAUACCGCAUAAUGUCUUCGGACCAAACGGGGCUUAGGCUCCGGCGCAAAGAGAGGCCCAAGUAAGAUUAGCUAGUUGGUAGGGUAACGGCUUACCAAGGCGACGAUCUCUAGCUGCUCUGAGAGGAAGAUCAGCCACACUGGGACUGAGACACGGCCCAGACUCCUACGGGAGGCAGCAGUGGGGAAUAUUGCACAAUGGGGGAAACCCUGAUGCAGCCAUGCCGCGUGUGUGAAGAAGGCCUUCGGGUUGUAAAGCACUUUCAGUUGUGAGGAAAAGUUAGUAGUUAAUACCUGCUAGCCGUGACGUUAACAACAGAAGAAGCACCGGCUAACUCCGUGCCAGCAGCCGCGGUAAUACGGAGGGUGCGAGCGUUAAUCGGAAUUACUGGGCGUAAAGCGCACGCAGGCGGUUUGUUAAGCUAGAUGUGAAAGCCCCGGGCUCAACCUGGGAUGGUCAUUUAGAACUGGCAGACUAGAGUCUUGGAGAGGGGAGUGGAAUUCCAGGUGUAGCGGUGAAAUGCGUAGAUAUCUGGAGGAACAUCAGUGGCGAAGGCGACUCCCUGGCCAAAGACUGACGCUCAUGUGCGAAAGUGUGGGUAGCGAACAGGAUUAGAUACCCUGGUAGUCCACACCGUAAACGCUGUCUACUAG